Molecule: ribosomal RNA, 253 nt
Filed under: uncultured bacterium
Lineage: Bacteria
Description: partial 16S ribosomal RNA
Rfam family: Bacterial small subunit ribosomal RNA
Source: RNAcentral
UACGGAGGGUGCAAGCAUUGAUCGGAAUUACUGGGCGUAAAGGGCGCGUAGGCGGUUAAAUAAGUCAGAUGUGAAAUUCCGGGGCUCAACCCCGGAGCUGCAUUUGAAACUAUAUAACUAGAGUUCAGUUAGGGUAAACGGAAUUCCACGUGUAGCGGUGAAAUGCGUAGAUAUGUGGAAGAACACCGGUGGUGAAGACGGUUUACUGGGCUGAUACUGACGCUGAGGCGCGAAAGCAUGGGGAGCAAACGGG